This 278-nucleotide long non-coding RNA is filed under the name Gossypium barbadense (sea-island cotton). Its description in RNAcentral is "long non-coding RNA (GBAR_LNC008104)". Lineage: Eukaryota; Viridiplantae; Streptophyta; Magnoliopsida; Malvales; Malvaceae. The record is from RNAcentral.
GACACCAGUUUCAUGCAUACAUAUGAAUGAGUAGAACCGGGAUCAAUCAAAGCAAUAACAUUAGUAUCAUAAAGAGAAAAUGUACCGGUAAUCACAUCGAGUGAGGAAGCAUCUUCACGCGCUUUAGUAGUAUAAGUUCUAGCCGGAGCUCUUCCUUCAGAUCUAACUACUGCAUCUCUGGCUACAUUCUUACUGCUUGUUUCACUUCCAGCUUUUCUCGGAUACCUUCCCCUCGAGUCUGCACCACUAGCUUUUACAUUCUGAAAUUUUUCUUUCUC